GAUGAACGCUGGCGGCGUGCUUAAUACAUGCAAGUCGAGCGGACAGACGAGGCGCUUGCUGCUUUCACGUUAGCGGCGGGCGGGUGAGUCACCCGAGGAUACCCUACCUAUAAGUCUGAGAUAUCUACGGAAAUCCGGAUAUAACAUAGGAUAAUAUCUUGAAACGCGUGGUUCACUAGAGAAAGACGGAUUUGAUGUCCCGUAUAGAUGUUUCCGAGCCGCAUUAGUUAGUUGGUACGGUAACAGCUUACCAAAGCUACGCUGCGUGGCCGAUCUGCCAGGGUGGUCGGCCACACUGGAACGUGAACACGGUCCAGACGCCUACGGGAGGGAGCAGUCGGGAAUGUUCCGCAAUGGGCGGAAGCCUGACGCAGCCACUCCGCGUGAGUGAUGAAGGUCUUCGGAUCGUAAAGCUCUGUUAUUAGGGAAGAACAGAUGUGGAAUUAACUAUGCAGGUCUUGACGGUACCUGAUCAAGAAGCCACGGCUAACUACGUG
RNAcentral lists this ribosomal RNA (497 nucleotides) under uncultured bacterium. RNAcentral describes it as "partial 16S ribosomal RNA". It matches the Rfam family "Bacterial small subunit ribosomal RNA", at positions 28 to 507 of the family's 1533-position model. The record is from RNAcentral.